AGUCGAGCGAAUCUGAUGGGAGCUUGCUCCCUGAUGAUUAGCGGCGGACGGGUGAGUAACACGUGGGUAACCUGCCUGUAAGACUGGGAUAACUCCGGGAAACCGGGGCUAAUACCGGAUAACUUUUUUCUUCGCAUGAAGAAGAAUUGAAAGAUGGCUCCGGCUAUCACUUACAGAUGGACCCGCGGCGCAUUAGCUAGUUGGUGAGGUAACGGCUCACCAAGGCGACGAUGCGUAGCCGACUUGAGAGGGUGAUCGGCCACACUGGGACUGAGACACGGCCCAGACUCCUACGGGAGGCAGCAGUAGGGAAUCUUCCGCAAUGGACGAAAGUCUGACGGAGCAACGCCGCGUGAGUGAUGAAGGUUUUCGGAUCGUAAAACUCUGUUGUUAGGGAAGAACAAGUAUCGUUCGAAUAGGGCGGUACCUUGACGGUACCUAACCAGAAAGCCACGGCUAACUACGUGCCAGCAGCCGCGGUAAUACGUAGGUGGCAAGCGUUGUCCGGAAUUAUUGGGCGUAAAGCGCGCGCAGGCGGUUUCUUAAGUCUGAUGUGAAAUCUUGCGGCUCAACCGCAAGCGGCCAUUGGAAACUGGGAGACUUGAGUGCAGAAGAGGAGAGUGGAAUUCCACGUGUAGCGGUGAAAUGCGUAGAGAUGUGGAGGAACACCAGUGGCGAAAGCGACUCUCUGGUCUGUAACUGACGCUGAGGCGCGAAAGCGUGGGGAGCGAACAGGAUUAGAUACCCUGGUAGUCCACGCCGUAAACGAUGAGUGCUAAGUGUUAGAGGGUUUCCGCCCUUUAGUGCUGCAGCUAACGCAUUAAGCACUCCGCCUGGGGAGUACGGCCGCAAGGCUGAAACUCAAGGAAUUGACGGGGCCCGCACAAGCGGUGGAGCAUGUGGUUUAAUUCGAAGCAACGCGAGACCUUACCAGUCUUGACAUCCUCUUGACCUCCCUAGAGAUAGGGAUUUCCCUUCGGG
RNAcentral lists this ribosomal RNA (981 nucleotides) under Bacillus sp. (in: firmicutes). Its description in RNAcentral is "bacterial SSU rRNA". It matches the Rfam family "Bacterial small subunit ribosomal RNA", at positions 60 to 1024 of the family's 1533-position model. The record is from RNAcentral. Lineage: Bacteria; Bacillati; Bacillota; Bacilli; Caryophanales; Bacillaceae.